GGGGCCGUGACGAAUGGCUCAGAAAAGAGGGUGCUGUGAGAAACUGGAGCUGCUCUGGCGGAGUGGGUGAGAGACUGAGGAACCAGCAUGAAGUCCAGGGCUGGUGGCACCGUGAUGCACAGGGUGGAACCGCUGUGCUGCUCCCCCUGGGAAGGCCAAGAUGUACAUGGGUCAAUCAGAGCAAGGGCUGUAUGUGGGAUGGCUCUGCUCACUGUGACAUCCCCCCCCUGCUCCUGGUGCUGUGGGGCCCACUGACAGGGUUCUCAGCACCUGCAGGAGGACACGAGGAGAGAGAACAUCCCUGAUGUGCAUCCUGCACCUUGCUCGCCCAAGGCCAGGGCAGCUCCACCAGCAGCUCCUCGCUGACCCUUCCUGCACCCUGCUCCCUCAGCCCCAGCUCUCCAUCCUCAGCCCCAGGGAUGGAUCCUGCUGUCCUGCUGCCCACAGCAGGGUCCGGCCGGCAGCCUGCAGGGGACGGGCCUGGCAGGCUCCAGCAGCAGGAGGGCUCAUGCAUUACAAUCCAGUACAAUCUGUCCCCCUUCCCGCUGCCCAGCAGUAGGGGAGACGGUUACUGUUUAAUCCCAUUUGACAGCUCUUUCAUCAUCUGCCUGCCUCCCUCCAGCUUCCCCGUGGUUCCUCCAAGGCUCCUUUGUGGCCAUAAUCAAAGCCUGCCGGAGGGAGCGGGUGACUCAGGGGAAUCAGCUCAUGGCUUCCCAAAGCCUUUUACGUCAAGGCCAGCAGCUCGAUGCCAGUGGCACAGAAGAUGUUGUCACUCGACGCCGGGUCAGCAGCCUCGAGCCAGAGGGUGA
This 809-nucleotide long non-coding RNA is filed under the name Coturnix japonica (Japanese quail). RNAcentral describes it as "lncRNA (ENSCJPG00005018453.1)". The record is from RNAcentral. Lineage: Eukaryota; Metazoa; Chordata; Aves; Galliformes; Phasianidae.